UACGUAGGGUGCGAGCGUUAAUCGGAAUUACUGGGCGUAAAGCGUGCGCAGGCGGUCUGUUAAGACCGAUGUGAAAUCCCCGGGCUUACCUGGAACUGCAUUGGUGACUGGCAGGCUUUGAGUGUGGCAGAGGGGGGUAGAAUUCCACGUGUAGCAGUGAAAUGCGUAGAGAUGUGGAGGAAUACCGAUGGCGAAGGCAGCCCCCUGGGCCAACACUGACGCUCAUGCACGAAAGCGUGGGAGC
RNAcentral lists this ribosomal RNA (244 nucleotides) under uncultured bacterium. RNAcentral's name for it is "partial 16S ribosomal RNA". It matches the Rfam family "Bacterial small subunit ribosomal RNA", at positions 524 to 769 of the family's 1533-position model. The record is from RNAcentral.